AGUGAACGCUGGCGGUAGGCCUAACACAUGCAAGUCGAACGGCAGCACAGUAAGAGCUUGCUCUUACGGGUGGCGAGUGGCGGACGGGUGAGGAAUACAUCGGAAUCUACUUUUUCGUGGGGGAUAACGUAGGGAAACUUACGCUAAUACCGCAUACGACCUACGGGUGAAAGCAGGGGAUCUUCGGACCUUGCGCGAUUGAAUGAGCCGAUGUCGGAUUAGCUAGUUGGCGGGGUAAAGGCCCACCAAGGCGACGAUCCGUAGCUGGUCUGAGAGGAUGAUCAGCCACACUGGAACUGAGACACGCUCCAGACUCCUACGGGGGGCAGCUGUGGGGAAUAUUGGACAAUGGGCGCAAGCCUGAUCCAGCCAUACCGCGUGGGUGAAGAAGGCCUUCGGGUUGUAAAGCCCUUUUGUUGGGAAAGAAAAGCAGCAGGUUAAUACCCCGCUGUUCUGACGGUACCCAAAGAAUAAGCACCGGCUAACUUCGUG
This 492-nucleotide ribosomal RNA is filed under the name uncultured bacterium. RNAcentral's name for it is "partial 16S ribosomal RNA". It matches the Rfam family "Bacterial small subunit ribosomal RNA", at positions 29 to 507 of the family's 1533-position model. The record is from RNAcentral.